GCAUGCUUAGUAUAGUGGUUAGUACUCCACGUUGUGGCCGUGGCGACGCUGGUUCGAUUCCAGCAGCAGGCA
RNAcentral lists this transfer RNA (72 nucleotides) under Caenorhabditis brenneri. RNAcentral's name for it is "tRNA-His (GTG) (tRNA-His-GTG-2-1)". It matches the Rfam family "tRNA". Rfam says of the family: Transfer RNA (tRNA) molecules are approximately 80 nucleotides in length. The record is from Rfam by way of RNAcentral. Lineage: Eukaryota; Metazoa; Nematoda; Chromadorea; Rhabditida; Rhabditidae.